UAGGGAAUCUUCGGCAAUGGGGGGAACCCUGACCGAGCAACGCCGCGUGAGUGAAGAAGGUUUUCGGAUCGUAAAGCUCUGUUGUUAAGGAAGAACGAGUGUGAGAAUGGAAAGUUCAUACUGUGACGGUACUUAACCAGAAAGGGACGGCUAACUACGUGCCAGCAGCCGCGGUAAUACGUAGGUGGCAAGCGUUGUCCGGAUUUAUUGGGCGUAAAGCGAGCGCAGGCGGUCAAGUAAGUCUGAUGUGAAAGCCCCCGGCUCAACCGGGGAGGGUCAUUGGAAACUGGUUGACUUGAGUGCAGAAGAGGAGAGUGGAAUUCCAUGUGUAGCGGUGAAAUGCGUAGAUAUAUGGAGGAACACCAGUGGCGAAGGCGACUCUCUGGUCUGUAACUGACGCUGAGGCUCGAAAGCGUGGGUAGCAAACAGG
Molecule: ribosomal RNA, 430 nt
Filed under: Bacteroidota bacterium
Lineage: Bacteria; Pseudomonadati; Bacteroidota
Description: Bacteroidetes bacterium partial 16S ribosomal RNA
Rfam family: Bacterial small subunit ribosomal RNA
Source: RNAcentral